AGGGUGAUGGUGUAAUGGAAACACGCCUCUUUGGAGUCUAUCCGGGUUCGAUUCCCGGUCACCAAA
RNAcentral lists this transfer RNA (66 nucleotides) under Komagataeibacter intermedius NRIC 0521. It matches the Rfam family "tRNA". From Rfam's summary of the family: Transfer RNA (tRNA) molecules are approximately 80 nucleotides in length. The record is from RNAcentral. Lineage: Bacteria; Pseudomonadati; Pseudomonadota; Alphaproteobacteria; Acetobacterales; Acetobacteraceae.